Molecule: ribosomal RNA, 486 nt
Filed under: uncultured bacterium
Lineage: Bacteria
Description: bacterial SSU rRNA
Rfam family: Bacterial small subunit ribosomal RNA
Source: RNAcentral
GAUGAACGCUAGCUACAGGCUUAACACAUGCAAGUCGAGGGGCAGCACUAGGUAGCAAUACUGAGGUGGCGACCGGCGCACGGGUGCGUAACGCGUAUCCAACCUUCCCGUUACUCUUGGAUAGCCUUCCGAAAGGGAGAUUAAUACAAGAUGGUAUUCAAAUUCCGCAUGUUAUUUGAAUUAAAGAUUUAUCGGUUAUGGAUGGGGAUGCGUAAGAUUAGGUAGUAGGCGGGGUAACGGCCCACCUAGCCGACGAUCUUUAGGGGUUCUGAGAGGAAGGUCCCCCACACUGGUACUGAGACACGGACCAGACUCCUACGGGAGGCAGCAGUGAGGAAUAUUGGUCAAUGGGCGGAAGCCUGAACCAGCCAAGUAGCGUGAAGGAUUACAGCCCUACGGGUUUUAAACUUCUUUUAUAUAAGAGUAAUGUGGUCUACGUGUAGAUUAUUGCAAGUAUUAUAUGAAUAAGCAUCGGCUAACUCCGUG